Molecule: ribosomal RNA, 123 nt
Filed under: Alphaproteobacteria bacterium
Lineage: Bacteria; Pseudomonadati; Pseudomonadota; Alphaproteobacteria
Description: partial 23S ribosomal RNA
Rfam family: Bacterial large subunit ribosomal RNA
Source: RNAcentral
GAAACGAGUUCUCCCUUAAGAGCCGUGGUAGACCACCACGUUGAUAGGCCGGGUGUGUAAGCGCGGCAACGCGUUCAGCUUACCGGUACUAAUAGCUCGAUUGAGCUUGAUCGCGCUCAUCUU